This 492-nucleotide ribosomal RNA is filed under the name uncultured bacterium. RNAcentral's name for it is "partial 16S ribosomal RNA". It matches the Rfam family "Bacterial small subunit ribosomal RNA", at positions 29 to 507 of the family's 1533-position model. The record is from RNAcentral.
AGUGAACGCUGGCGGUAGGCCUAACACAUGCAAGUCGAACGGCAGCACAGUAAGAGCUUGCUCUUACGGGUGGCGAGUGGCGGACGGGUGAGGAAUACAUCGGAAUCUACUUUUUCGUGGGGGAUAACGUAGGGAAACUUACGCUAAUACCGCAUACGACCUACGGGUGAAAGCAGGGGAUCUUCGGACCUUGCGCGAUUGAAUGAGCCGAUGUCGGAUUAGCUAGUUGGCGGGGUAAAGGCCCACCAAGGCGACGAUCCGUAGCUGGUCUGAGAGGAUGAUCAGCCACACUGGAGCUGAGACACGGUCCAGACGACUACGGGAGGCAGCAGUGGGGAAUAUUGGACAAUGGGCGCAAGCCUGAUCCAGCCAUACCGCGUGGGUGAAGAAGGCCUUCGGGUUGUAAAGCCCUUUUGUUGGGAAAGAAAAGCAGCAGGUUAAUACCCCGCUGUUCUGACGGUACCCAAAGAAUAAGCACCGGCUAACUUCGUG